This is a long non-coding RNA of Saccostrea cuccullata (small rock oyster), 202 nucleotides long. RefSeq lists it as uncharacterized. NCBI's taxonomy places the organism in Eukaryota, Metazoa, Mollusca, Bivalvia, Ostreida, Ostreidae. The transcript has 3 exons. The record is from RefSeq and is a predicted model, not a curated record.
AGAAUUAUUUCAAUGUGAAAAUGGAUUACAGUGAAAUACUUGAUUUUAGUACCAACGGGGAGACCAAACUCGAAAUUUUGAAAUUUUCGUAUAAUUGGGCUGAGGAAGUUGAACGUCAAGAGAAGAUGAAGGUGCAGGCUUUUGAAGCAGAGGAAGAAGAGAGAAAGAAGGCUGUGCUGGGCAUUAUGAAAAAAGUUCAUCG